RNAcentral lists this ribosomal RNA (1369 nucleotides) under uncultured bacterium. RNAcentral's name for it is "bacterial SSU rRNA". It matches the Rfam family "Bacterial small subunit ribosomal RNA", at positions 28 to 1381 of the family's 1533-position model. The record is from RNAcentral.
GACGAACGCUGGCGGCGUGCCUAAUACAUGCAAGUAGAACGCUGAAGAGAGGAGCUUGCUCUUCUUGGAUGAGUUGCGAACGGGUGAGUAACGCGUAGGUAACCUGCCUUGUAGCGGGGGAUAACUAUUGGAAACGAUAGCUAAUACCGCAUAACAAUGGAUGACACAUGUCAUUUAUUUGAAAGGGGCAAUUGCUCCACUACAAGAUGGACCUGCGUUGUAUUAGCUAGUAGGUGAGGUAACGGCUCACCUAGGCGACGAUACAUAGCCGACCUGAGAGGGUGAUCGGCCACACUGGGACUGAGACACGGCCCAGACUCCUACGGGAGGCAGCAGUAGGGAAUCUUCGGCAAUGGGGGCAACCCUGACCGAGCAACGCCGCGUGAGUGAAGAAGGUUUUCGGAUCGUAAAGCUCUGUUGUAAGUCAAGAACGAGUGUGAGAGUGGAAAGUUCACACUGUGACGGUAGCUUACCAGAAAGGGACGGCUAACUACGUGCCAGCGGCCGCGGUAAUACGUAGGUCCCGAGCGUUGUCCGGAUUUAUUGGGCGUAAAGCGAGCGCAGGCGGUUUGAUAAGUCUGAAGUUAAAGGCUGUGGCUCAACCAUAGUUCGCUUUGGAAACUGUCAAACUUGAGUGCAGAAGGGGAGAGUGGAAUUCCAUGUGUAGCGGUGAAAUGCGUAGAUAUAUGGAGGAACACCGGUGGCGAAAGCGGCUCUCUGGUCUGUAACUGACGCUGAGGCUCGAAAGCGUGGGGAGCGAACAGGAUUAGAUACCCUGGUAGUCCACGCCGUAAACGAUGAGUGCUAGGUGUUGGAUCCUUUCCGGGAUUCAGUGCCGCAGCUAACGCAUUAAGCACUCCGCCUGGGGAGUACGACCGCAAGGUUGAAACUCAAAGGAAUUGACGGGGGCCCGCACAAGCGGUGGAGCAUGUGGUUUAAUUCGAAGCAACGCGAAGAACCUUACCAGGUCUUGACAUCCCGAUGCUAUUUCUAGAGAUAGAAAGUUACUUCGGUACAUCGGUGACAGGUGGUACAUGGUUGUCGUCAGCUCGUGUCGUGAGAUGUUGGGUUAAGUCCCGCAACGAGCGCAACCCCUAUUGUUAGUUGCCAUCAUUCAGUUGGGCACUCUAGCGAGACUGCCGGUAAUAAACCGGAGGAAGGUGGGGAUGACGCCAAAUCAUCAUGCCCCUUAUGACCUGGGCUACACACGUGCUACAAUGGUUGGUACAACGAGUUGCGAGUCGGUGACGGCAAGCUAAUCUCUUAAAGCCAAUCUCAGUUCGGAUUGUAGGCUGCAACUCGCCUACAUGAAGUCGGAAUCGCUAGUAAUCGCGGAUCAGCACGCCGCGGUGAAUACGUUCCCGGGCCU